This 164-nucleotide ribosomal RNA is filed under the name Leucaena leucocephala subsp. leucocephala. Its description in RNAcentral is "5.8S ribosomal RNA". It matches the Rfam family "5.8S ribosomal RNA". Rfam says of the family: 5.8S ribosomal RNA (5.8S rRNA) is a component of the large subunit of the eukaryotic ribosome. It is transcribed by RNA polymerase I as part of the 45S precursor that also contains 18S and 28S rRNA. Functionally, it is thought that 5.8S rRNA may be involved in ribosome translocation. Lineage: Eukaryota; Viridiplantae; Streptophyta; Magnoliopsida; Fabales; Fabaceae. The record is from RNAcentral.
AAAACGACUCUCAACAACGGAUAUCUCGGCUCUCGCAUCGAUGAAGAACGUAGUAAAAUGCGAUACUUGGUGUGAAUUGCAGAAUCCCGUGAACCAUCGAGUCUUUGAACACAAGUUACGCCCGAGGCCAUUAGGUCGAGGGCAUGUCUGCCUGGGUGUCACAC